GAGAGGAGUUGAAUUGUUUCACUUGCAGAAACUGUGGCUGCAGGGAGCAUCCAAAGGGAUCGCAUUGAUCCCUUGAGACACGUUUUCUUCAUUGACAGUAAUCGGAUCAUGCGAUCUUUUUGGAUACCUCCUCCGGCCACUUUUACUAUCCGCCCAUCUUUCACUGGACUUCCCUCUUUCCAUGGAGAAAUCCCUGCGUAGGUAGGUUCGAGCAGGCUGCUGACUGCCUGAGAAUACCCUAAGAGAAGUCAUCUGAGCAUUUACUGGAAGAAGAAGAAGAAGAACUUGAUGCACUGCAUGAUGGCCCUGCAAAAAGUUUUUGGAUUACUGUCGAAGGUCACAAGUACUUGUUCUAAGUUUCUUGCUACUUACAUGAUUCUACACAACAAGUAUAUUGAUGUGUUGAGAGCUGAUACAUAAUUAGUUGAGGACUUUGAUGAAGAAAAUUUCCACAA
Musa acuminata AAA Group (dessert banana) is the source of this 455-nucleotide long non-coding RNA. RefSeq lists it as uncharacterized. The transcript has 2 exons. The record is from RefSeq and is a predicted model, not a curated record. Lineage: Eukaryota; Viridiplantae; Streptophyta; Magnoliopsida; Zingiberales; Musaceae.